AUAAUAACUUUACGGAUCACAAUUAAUGUGACAUAUCAUACAAGUUUCUGACCUAUCAGCUUUAGACGGUAGGGUAUUGGCCUACCGUGGCAYUGACGGUAACGGGGAAUUAGGGUUCGAUUCCGGAGAGGGAGCCUGAGAAACGGUACCACAUCUAAGGAAGGCAGCAGGCGCGCAAAUUACCCAAUCCUAAUACAGGGAGGUAGUGACAAGAAAUAACAAUACAGGACUUUUUGGUUUUGUAAUUGGAAUGAGUUAAGUAUAAACCCCUUUACAAGUAUCAAUUGGAGGGCAAGUCUGGUGCCAGCAGCCGCGGUAAUUCCAGCUCCAAUAGCGUAUAUUAAAGUUGUUGCAGUUAAAAAGCUCGUAGUUGGAUUUCUGUUAAUAAUUUAUAUAAAAUAUUUUGAUGAAUAUUUAUAUAAUAUUAACAUAAUUCAUAUUACUAUUUUUUUUUUUAGUAUAUGAAAUUUUACUUUGAGAAAAUUAGAGUGCUUAAAGCAGGCAUAUGCCUUGAAUACUCCAGCAUGGAAUAAUAUUAAAGAUUUUUAUCUUUUUUAUUGGUUCUAAGAUAAGAAUAAUGAUUAAUAGGGACAGUUGGGGGCAUUGUAUUUAACAGUCAGAGGUGAAAUUCUUAGAUUUGUUAAAGACAAACUAAUGCGAAAGCAUUUGCCAAGGAUGUUUUCAUUAAUCAAGAACGAAAGUUAGGGGAUCGAAGACGAUCAGAUACCGUCGUAGUCUUAACCAUAAACUAUGCAACUU
This 759-nucleotide ribosomal RNA is filed under the name Cryptosporidium hominis. RNAcentral's name for it is "SSU rRNA". It matches the Rfam family "Eukaryotic small subunit ribosomal RNA", at positions 255 to 1058 of the family's 1831-position model. The record is from RNAcentral. Lineage: Eukaryota; Apicomplexa; Conoidasida; Eucoccidiorida; Cryptosporidiidae.